RNAcentral lists this ribosomal RNA (255 nucleotides) under uncultured bacterium. RNAcentral's name for it is "partial 16S ribosomal RNA". It matches the Rfam family "Bacterial small subunit ribosomal RNA", at positions 99 to 354 of the family's 1533-position model. The record is from RNAcentral.
CGGACGGGUGAGUAACGCGUGGAUAACCUGCCGUAUACCGGGGGAUAACACUUAGAAAUAGGUGCUAAUACCGCAUAAGCGCACGGCUCCGCAUGGGGCAGUGUGAAAAAUUCCGGUGGUAUACGAUGGAUCCGCGUCUGAUUAGCUAGUUGGCGGGGUAACGGCCCACCAAGGCAGCGAUCAGUAGCCGGCCUGAGAGGGUGGACGGCCACAUUGGGACUGAGACACGGCCCAAACUCCUACGGAAGGCAGCAG